GCCAAAAAUCUAGCCCAUUCCACUUUAUUAUACCUUUUAAUUUUACAGCCCUAAAACAAACCAUUUUAACUUCUUAGUACAGGCGAUCGAAAAAUCUCUACGGCGCUUCAGAUAAAGUACCGCAAGGGAAUGAUGAAAUAGCUAUGAAAUAGCCUCAAAGCUUAAUAUAGCAGAGAUUUAACCUCG
This 186-nucleotide ribosomal RNA is filed under the name Meristogenys cf. orphnocnemis KR-2003. RNAcentral describes it as "Meristogenys cf. orphocnemis KR-2003 partial 16S ribosomal RNA". Lineage: Eukaryota; Metazoa; Chordata; Amphibia; Anura; Ranidae. The record is from RNAcentral.